Molecule: non-coding RNA, 148 nt
Organism: Pan troglodytes (chimpanzee)
Lineage: Eukaryota; Metazoa; Chordata; Mammalia; Primates; Hominidae
Rfam family: Metazoan signal recognition particle RNA
About the family: The signal recognition particle (SRP) is a universally conserved ribonucleoprotein.
Source: Rfam
GCUGGGCGUGGUGGCGGGCGCCUGUAAUCCCAGCUACUCAGGAGGCUGAGACAGGAGAAUCACUUGAACCCAGGAGGCAGAGGUUGCAGUGAGCCGAGAUUGCACCACUGCACUUCAGCCUGGGUGACAGAAUGAGACUCCGUCUCAA